GUGCAGCAGGCGAGAAACCUUCGCAAUGCGGGAAACCGCGACGAGGGGACUCCCAGUGCCUACGCUCAGCGUAGGCUGUUCCCGAGCCUAGAAAGCUCGGGGAGUAAGGGCUGGGUAAGACGGGUGCCAGCCGCCGCGGUAAUACCCGCAGCCCGAGUGGUGGCCACUAUUAUUGGGCCUAAAGCGUCCGUAGCCGGCCCGGUAAAUGCCUGGGUAAAUCGUGAGGCCUAACCUCACGAAUUCCGGGUAGACUGCCGGGCUAGGGACCGGAGGAGGGAGAGGGUACUCCAGGGGUAGGGGUGAAAUCCUGUAAUCCCUGGAGGACCACCGGUGGCGAAGGCGCUCUCCUAGGACGGGUCCGACGGUGAGGGACGAAAGCCAGGGGAGCGAACCGGAUUAGAUACCCCCGUAGU
RNAcentral lists this ribosomal RNA (413 nucleotides) under uncultured microorganism. RNAcentral describes it as "bacterial SSU rRNA". It matches the Rfam family "Archaeal small subunit ribosomal RNA", at positions 330 to 745 of the family's 1478-position model. The record is from RNAcentral.